This 854-nucleotide unclassified non-coding RNA is filed under the name uncultured fungus. RNAcentral describes it as "sequence contains 18S rRNA gene, ITS1, 5.8S rRNA gene, ITS2, 28S rRNA gene". The stretch from base 263 to 854 matches the Rfam family "Eukaryotic large subunit ribosomal RNA", at positions 1 to 961 of the family's 3401-position model. Lineage: Eukaryota; Fungi. The record is from RNAcentral.
GGAUGGAUCAUAAUGAUAUUACUGGACUGCUUGACGGAUUUGUAUCAACUGCUCUUGAUCUAAAGAUAGCUCGCUUAAGGCCUGCUCGGAGGACAGCUUGGCUGGGUAAUUGAUGAAGCUCGGGAGAGACCCUGAUAGGUCCUCGCUCGUAUCAGCUGUGAGGAAUAAGUGAAUGGUUGUCGCUUCGGCGCGUGGCGAGCAGUGGACGACCCAAAUCUAUUCAGAUACUAACGCGGAGUACAUGAGUAUCCGUCGUGACAGACUGCCCUGCUCGGCUCGAAAAUAGCUACUGAACUUAAGCAUAUCAGUAAGUAGAUCAAGAGAAACCAAAUGGGAGGCCGGUACUAGCGGCGAGCGAAACCGGUCAACAGCGAACCAGGUGCCCCAGGAUUGCUGUUCAGCAGCCUGGUGACCACGCCUGUCGCAGCAAUUUAGUACGUCUUGUUGAUACUCAAGAUGGAAUACCUCGUGGACAUGAGGUAAUUGCAAAUACAUACCCAGACCGAUAGUUUACAAGUACCGUGAGGGAAAGUGCACGAGUUCCGCAGGAACCGAAUAUGGAAACCUUGCAGGUCGAAGGAACCAAGCCGAGAGGUACGGUUCACCCGUCUUGAAACACGGACCAAGGAGUCGCCGCUGACUGCGAGGCAGAGAGUAAUCCUGUGCCGGAUCGCAAGACGUUGACACUGAUAGUAGUCAGCAGCGGACCCGAAAGAUGGUGAACUAUACUUGACUAGGGUGAAGCCAGAUGAAACUCUGGUGGAGGCUCGUUUCGAUACUGACGCGCAAAUCGUUCGUAUGAGUUGAGUAUAGGGGCGAAAGACUAAUCGAACCAUCUAGUAGCUGGUUCCCUC